CCCGUAACUUCGGGAGAAGGGGGGCACCGGUAGGGUGUAGGACUUCGCGUCCGAAGCCCGAUGGUGCCGCAGAGACCAGGCCCAAGCGACUGUUUACUAAAAACACAGGUCCGUGCGAAGCCGAAAGGCGCUGUAUACGGACUGACGCCUGCCCGGUGCCGGAACGUUAAGAGGAUGGGUUAGCCCUUCGGGGCGAAGCCCUGAAUCUAAGCGCCGGUAAACGGCGGCCGUAACUAUAACGGUUCAAUUCCAACGGGCCGUUGGAAAACCCCGCUAUAUGCUGGAACGCCCGAGUAUCCCGCGGUACCGGAUCCAUCCGGUGACAAUCCGUCGGGUGCGGGUAAUCAGCAGGGAAGUCGACGCGUGAGCGUUUGACCCCUCAGAGGCCACACGCGGGGCACUCGAAGAUCGAGUGAAGAUAUGGUCCGACCCUCAUGGCGACAUGAGGAGGGCGGCAGAACAGAAAUGACCGCCCCGCCGACAUCGCUCUUCCGUACGAGCGAGUCGGAGGUAACAGAGUGCCUAAGGUAGGAAUCCUCUUGGCAGGCAAGGGGAGCUGCCCCCCGUACCGGUGACGGUACGGUGCGCAGCCGGCUAUAUGCUGGAAAACCCGAGUAUCCCGUCGGUACUCGUUCAUGUCAGUACCUCUCUCUAGAGUGCUGACGUGAGCAGUGACAAUCCGUCGGGUGCGGAAAACCAGCAGGAAAGGCUCACGACCGCGGGAUGGGUUGUGGGUUUCGCGGAUGGAGAGGGCUGCUUCAGCUGCUCCAUCUAUCGAUGUCACAAGAUGACUCUCGGAUGGCAAGUACGACCUUCGUUCGAUGUCGUCCAAGGGGAGUCGAGUCGUGAUGCUCUCGAGGAACUGGUUCGGUUCUUCGGUACCGGCAGGAUCUAUCGAAACGGUAGGCGGGACAACCAUCGCGAGGCUCUCCUCCGAUACAACGUCUAUCGGUUCGAAGACCUCCGGAUCCGAAUCGUUCCGUUCUUCAGGGAGAACCCACUGCGAACUUCGAAAGGAAGAACUACGAGAAGUUCGCUCGGAUCAUCGAGCUGAUGGAGCUCCGUCGACACCUCUCGGUGGAAGGCGUCAUCGAGAUCGCGGAGAUUACGCAGACGAUGAAUCACAGGAAGCCAUCCAAGGUCCUGGGAAUCCUCAGAGGCCAUACGCCGGCCCUCUUCGAUGAAGAGGAUGAGAUGGUCCGAUCCUCACGGCGACGUGGGGAGGUUGGCAAACGCCAACCCGCCUCUCGAGAUCGUGCAGUCUCGAGCGGUCAUCAAGUAACAGAAUCAGCGAAAUUCCUUGUCGGGUAAGUUCCGACCUGCACGAAUGGCGCAACGACUUGGGCGCUGUCUCAACCAGGGACUCGGCGAAAUUGCAAUACGAGUAAAGAUGCUCGUUACCCGCGACAGGACGGAAAGACCCCGGAACCUUUACUGCAGCUUGGUGUUGGGUUCUGGUACGCGUUGUGUAGGAUAGGCGGGAGCCUGGGAAGCCGGGGCGCCAGCUCCGGUGGAGGCAACCUUGAAAUACCGCUCUUCGUGUGCUGGGACUCUAACCCGGGUCCGUUAUCCGGAUCGGGAACAGCGCCUGGUGGGCAGUUUGACUGGGGCGGUCGCCUCCCAAAAGGUAACGGAGGUGUCCAAAGGUUCCCUCAACCUGGUUGGCAAUCAGGUGUCGAGUGCAAGGGCACAAGGGAGCUUGACUGCGAGACCGACGGGUCGAGCAGGUGCGAAAGCAGGGCCUAGUGAUCCGACGGUGGCUGGUGGUAGCGCCGUCGCUCAACGGCUAAAAGGUACUCCGGGGAUAACAGGCUGAUCGGUCCCAAGAGUCCAUAUCGACGGACCGGUUUGGCACCUCGAUGUCGGCUCAUCGCAUCCUGGGGCUGGAGCAGGUCCCAAGGGUCGGGCUGUUCGCCCGUUAAAGCGGUACGCGAGCUGGGUUUAGAACGUCGUGAGACAGUUCGGUCCCUAUCCGUCGUGGGCGUAGGAGACUUGAGGGGAGCUGCCCCCAGUACGAGAGGACCGGGGCGGACGGACCUCUGGUGUGCCAGUUGUCGCGCCAGCGGCACGGCUGGUUAGCCACGUUCGGCAGAGAUAAGCGCUGAAAGCAUCUAAGCGCGAAGCUUGCUCCAAGAUGAGGUUUCCCACUGGGCAACCAGGUAAGGCCCCUCGGAGACUACGAGGUUGAUAGGCCGGAGGUGUACGCACGGCAACGUGUUCAGCCGACCGGUACUAAUAGGCCGAGGACUUGGCUC
RNAcentral lists this ribosomal RNA (2255 nucleotides) under soil metagenome. RNAcentral's name for it is "bacterial LSU rRNA". It matches the Rfam family "Bacterial large subunit ribosomal RNA", at positions 1727 to 2925 of the family's 2925-position model. The record is from RNAcentral.